UAGGGAAUCUUCGGCAAUGGGGGCAACCCUGACCGAGCAACGCCGCGUGAGUGAAGAAGGUUUUCGGAUCGUAAAGCUCUGUUUUAAGAGAAGAACGUGUGUGAGAGUGGAAAGUUCACACAGUGACGGUAACUUACCAGAAAGGGACGGCUAACUACGUGCCAGUAGCCGCGGUAAUACGUAGGUCCCGAGCGUUGUCCGGAUUUAUUGGGCGUAAAGCGAGCGCAGGCGGUUUAAUAAGUCUGAAGUUAAAGGCAGUGGCUUAACCAUUGUUCGCUUUGGAAACUGUUAAACUUGAGUGCAGAAGGGGAGAGUGGAAUUCCAUGUGUAGCGGUGAAAUGCGUAGAUAUAUGGAGGAACACCGGUGGCGAAAGCGGCUCUCUGGUCUGUAACUGACGCUGAGGCUCGAAAGCGUGGGGAGCAAACAGG
This 429-nucleotide ribosomal RNA is filed under the name bacterium. RNAcentral's name for it is "partial 16S ribosomal RNA". It matches the Rfam family "Bacterial small subunit ribosomal RNA", at positions 355 to 776 of the family's 1533-position model. The record is from RNAcentral.